GGUGAGGUGUCCGAGUGGCUGAAGGAGCACGCCUGGAAAGUGUGUAAGCGUUUGUAGCGUUUCGAGGGUUCGAAUCCCUCUCUCACCGCCA
Molecule: transfer RNA, 91 nt
Filed under: Porticoccaceae bacterium
Lineage: Bacteria; Pseudomonadati; Pseudomonadota; Gammaproteobacteria; Cellvibrionales; Porticoccaceae
Description: tRNA-Ser
Rfam family: tRNA
About the family: Transfer RNA (tRNA) molecules are approximately 80 nucleotides in length. Their secondary structure includes four short double-helical elements and three loops (D, anti-codon, and T loops). Further hydrogen bonds mediate the characteristic L-shaped molecular structure. tRNAs have two regions of fundamental functional importance: the anti-codon, which is responsible for specific mRNA codon recognition, and the 3' end, to which the tRNAs corresponding amino acid is attached (by aminoacyl-tRNA synthetases). tRNAs cope with the degeneracy of the genetic code in two manners: having more than one tRNA (with a specific anti-codon) for a particular amino acid; and 'wobble' base-pairing, i.e. permitting non-standard base-pairing at the 3rd anti-codon position.
Source: RNAcentral